CGCGUAGGCGGCUUGGUCAGUCGGAUGUGAAAGCCCCGGGCUUAACCUGGGAAUUGCACUCGAUACUGCUGAGCUAGAGUAUGGGAGAGGGAAGUGGAAUUUCCGGUGUAGCGGUGAAAUGCGUAGAUAUCGGAAGGAACACCAGUGGCGAAGGCGACUUCCUGGCCCAAAACUGACGCUGAGGUGCGAAAGCGUGGGUAGCGAACA
RNAcentral lists this ribosomal RNA (207 nucleotides) under uncultured bacterium. RNAcentral describes it as "partial 16S ribosomal RNA". It matches the Rfam family "Bacterial small subunit ribosomal RNA", at positions 568 to 774 of the family's 1533-position model. The record is from RNAcentral.